AGGAAGCAAAAUAAAAGACAUUAUCCAAGAAAUUGAUAAGUGUUGGGACGCAAAAGAGUAUAAAUGACUUUUUA
Hippocampus comes (tiger tail seahorse) is the source of this 74-nucleotide long non-coding RNA. RefSeq lists it as uncharacterized. Lineage: Eukaryota; Metazoa; Chordata; Actinopteri; Syngnathiformes; Syngnathidae. The transcript is spliced from 2 exons. The record is from RefSeq and is a predicted model, not a curated record.